GGCGGCCUAGCUCAAUUGGUAGAGCAACUGACUUGUAAUCAGUAGGUUGGGGGUUCAAGUCCUCUGGCCGGCACCA
RNAcentral lists this transfer RNA (76 nucleotides) under Staphylococcus epidermidis. RNAcentral's name for it is "tRNA-Thr". It matches the Rfam family "tRNA". Rfam says of the family: Transfer RNA (tRNA) molecules are approximately 80 nucleotides in length. Their secondary structure includes four short double-helical elements and three loops (D, anti-codon, and T loops). The record is from RNAcentral. Lineage: Bacteria; Bacillati; Bacillota; Bacilli; Caryophanales; Staphylococcaceae.